Molecule: ribosomal RNA, 408 nt
Filed under: uncultured bacterium
Lineage: Bacteria
Description: partial 16S ribosomal RNA
Rfam family: Bacterial small subunit ribosomal RNA
Source: RNAcentral
AAUAUUGCACAAUGGGGGAAACUCUGACGCAGCGACGCCGCGUGAGCGAUGAAGGUCNNNGGAUCNUCAAGCUCUGUCCUUGGNGACNAAGGUCUUCGGACUUGACGGUACCCAUGGAGGAAGCCCCGGCUAACUACGUGCCAGCAGCCGCGGUAAUACGUAGGGGGCAAGCGUUGUCCGGAAUUAUUGGGCGUAAAGGGUGCGUAGGCGGCCUUUUAAGUCAGAUGUGAAAGCCCACGGCUCAACCGUGGGAUUGCAUUUGAAACUGGAGGGCUUGAGUAUCGGAGAGGGUAGUGGAAUUCCCAGUGUAGCCGUGAAAUGCGUAGAUAUUGGGAGGAACACCAGUGGCGAAGGCGACUACCUGGACGAUUACUGACGCUGAUGCACGAAAGCUAGGGGAGCAAACAG